Molecule: ribosomal RNA, 464 nt
Filed under: uncultured bacterium
Lineage: Bacteria
Description: partial 16S ribosomal RNA
Rfam family: Bacterial small subunit ribosomal RNA
Source: RNAcentral
GACGAACGCUGGCGGCGUGCUUAACACAUGCAAGUCGAACGGUAAGGCCCCAGCUUGCUGGGGUACACGAGUGGCGAACGGGUGAGUAACACGUGGGUGACCUGCCCCGCACUUCGGGAUAAGCCUUGGAAACUGGGUCUAAUACCGGAUAGGACCGCACCGUGAGGGUGGGGUGGAAAGUUUUUCGGUGUGGGAUGGGCCCGCGGCCUAUCAGCUUGUUGGUGGGGUAAUGGCCUACCAAGGCGGCGACGGGUAGCCGGCCUGAGAGGGUGGACGGCCACAUUGGGACUGAGACACGGCCCAGACUCCUACGGGAGGCAGCAGUGGGGAAUAUUGCACAAUGGGCGGAAGCCUGAUGCAGCGACGCCGCGUGGGGGAUGACGGCCUUCGGGUUGUAAACUCCUUUCACCAUCGACGAAGGUUUUCUGACGGUAGAUGGAGAAGAAGCACCGGCUAACUACGUG